AACGUAGGACGCAAGCGUUAUCCGGAGUUACUGGGCGUAAAGCGCGGGCAGGCGGUUCUGCCAGUCUGAUGUGAAAUCUCCUCGCUCAACGGGGAGCAGCCAUUGGAAACUACAGAACUGGAGUCUGGCAGAGGUAGGCGGAAUUCCGGGUGGAGUGGUGAAAUGCGUAGAGAUCCGGAGGAACACCAGAGGCGAAGGCGGCCUACUGGGCCAGUACUGACGCUGAGCCGCGAAAGCCAGGGGAGCGAACGGG
This 253-nucleotide ribosomal RNA is filed under the name uncultured bacterium. RNAcentral describes it as "partial 16S ribosomal RNA". It matches the Rfam family "Bacterial small subunit ribosomal RNA", at positions 524 to 776 of the family's 1533-position model. The record is from RNAcentral.